GUUCCUGUAGCGCAAGAUAUAGUGCGUUGGACUUCCAAUCCAAAGAUUGUGGGUUCGAAUCCCACCUGGGAUG
This 73-nucleotide transfer RNA is filed under the name Trichonephila inaurata madagascariensis. It matches the Rfam family "tRNA". Rfam says of the family: Transfer RNA (tRNA) molecules are approximately 80 nucleotides in length. Their secondary structure includes four short double-helical elements and three loops (D, anti-codon, and T loops). The record is from Rfam by way of RNAcentral. Lineage: Eukaryota; Metazoa; Arthropoda; Arachnida; Araneae; Nephilidae.